Molecule: signal recognition particle RNA, 299 nt
Filed under: Aotus nancymaae (Ma's night monkey)
Lineage: Eukaryota; Metazoa; Chordata; Mammalia; Primates; Aotidae
Description: Metazoan signal recognition particle RNA (ENSANAG00000005434.1)
Rfam family: Metazoan signal recognition particle RNA
About the family: The signal recognition particle (SRP) is a universally conserved ribonucleoprotein. It is involved in the co-translational targeting of proteins to membranes.
Source: RNAcentral
ACCAGGUGUGGUAGUCCACACCUGCGGUCCCAGCUGCAUGGGAGGCAGAGGCAGGAGCAUAGCUUGGGCUCCUGAGUUCUGGGCUUUAGUGUGAUAACGCCAAUUGGGUGUCCACAUUAAGUAAGUUCAGUAUCACUAUGUUGACCUCCCAGGAACAGGUGAGGUUGCCUAAGGAGGGGUGAACCAGCUCAUAUUGGAAAUGGAGCAGGUCAAAACUCCUGUGCUGAGCAGUGGUGGGAUCACGUGUGUGAAUAGUCAGUGCACUCCAGCCUGGGCAACAUAGAAAGAUCCCUGUUUCU